GUAGCUCAGUUGGAUAGAGCAUCGGCCUUCUAAGCCGAGGGUCACAGGUUCGAUUCCUGUC
Molecule: transfer RNA, 61 nt
Filed under: zebrafish metagenome
Rfam family: tRNA
About the family: Transfer RNA (tRNA) molecules are approximately 80 nucleotides in length. Their secondary structure includes four short double-helical elements and three loops (D, anti-codon, and T loops). Further hydrogen bonds mediate the characteristic L-shaped molecular structure. tRNAs have two regions of fundamental functional importance: the anti-codon, which is responsible for specific mRNA codon recognition, and the 3' end, to which the tRNAs corresponding amino acid is attached (by aminoacyl-tRNA synthetases). tRNAs cope with the degeneracy of the genetic code in two manners: having more than one tRNA (with a specific anti-codon) for a particular amino acid; and 'wobble' base-pairing, i.e. permitting non-standard base-pairing at the 3rd anti-codon position.
Source: RNAcentral